RNAcentral lists this ribosomal RNA (301 nucleotides) under uncultured bacterium. RNAcentral describes it as "partial 16S ribosomal RNA". It matches the Rfam family "Bacterial small subunit ribosomal RNA", at positions 509 to 807 of the family's 1533-position model. The record is from RNAcentral.
CAGCCGCCGCGGGAAUACAGAGGGUGCGAGCGUUAAUCGGAUUUACUGGGCGUAAAGCGUGCGUAGGCGGCUUCUUAAGUCGGAUGUGAAAUCCAUGAGCUUAACUUAGGAAUUGCAUUCGAUACUGGGAAGCUAGAGUAUGGGAGAGGAUGGUAGAAUUCCAGGUGUAGCGGUGAAAUGCGUAGAGAUCUGGAGGAAUACCGAUGGCGAAGGCAGCCAUCUGGCCUAAUACUGACGCUGAGGUACGAAAGCAUGGGGAGCAAACAGGAUUAGAUACCCGUGUAGUCCCUGUCUCUUAUAC